This 400-nucleotide unclassified non-coding RNA is filed under the name uncultured fungus. Its description in RNAcentral is "sequence contains ITS1". The stretch from base 1 to 105 matches the Rfam family "5.8S ribosomal RNA", at positions 50 to 154 of the family's 154-position model. Lineage: Eukaryota; Fungi. The record is from RNAcentral.
GAAAUGCGAUAAGUAAUGUGAAUUGCAGAAUUCAGUGAAUCAUCGAAUCUUUGAACGCAUAUUGCGCUCUUUGGUAUUCCAGAGAGCAUGCCUGUUUGAGUAUUGGUACUAUGGGUGAACUUCCUUUGAAUUUUCAAAGUAAAAUCAUUUAAAACCCUAUUGAGACGUCUUGGCAAUCUUUUUUGACAAGUGUCUUAAAAUUCAAUUGAAUUUUCCAUGUUCCAGUGGAAGACGACUAGUUUAUGGAGUAAUAUGGUAAGGGUUGCCCCUGACCUGAAAAAGUGCUGUAAAAAGUUCUUUUUCUUACUUUUUUACUAGUUUCCUUUAUGCUGGAACAUGAUCUUUGAAUGCCCUUGAAGAAGACAUUCAAAAGUUUUAAGCUCAAUCUCAAAUCAGGUAG